This is an RNA transcript of Vigna angularis (adzuki bean), 4122 nucleotides long. It is a transcript of the gene named folate-biopterin transporter 1, chloroplastic, with no coding region annotated. The record is from RefSeq and is a predicted model, not a curated record. The transcript is spliced from 10 exons. NCBI's taxonomy places the organism in Eukaryota, Viridiplantae, Streptophyta, Magnoliopsida, Fabales, Fabaceae.
GCACCAGACUCACUCACCAUAGCUGCUAUGCCAGGACGAUAGCAUCAGUGACAUGCUUCAAAUUUGAACUCCCUAAUUAAUUUAAUUACACCAAUAAAUAUUUCCAUAAAAUAAAAUGACUUACGUUUAUAUUUUGUCUUUAUUACCAUUUCUACCCUCCAAAUUUUCCAACUUUCAUCCCUCUCUCACACGCCGCACGCCAAUUAUCUCUCGUACUCCGCCAUUUCGCCGGAGAACGCGUCGGAAUCAGCCGGAGAUGGAAAUGUCCGGCACUUUUCCGAGGUCUAGCUCCUCUCUCCGAAUCAGUAGCGAGGAUAGCGACCCUUUUUUGCUUUCUCGUAUAAAUGCUGGAAAAGAUGACGCGUUAACAACUGAGAUCGAUCUAGAGGCUUCUUCCUCUAGUAAAGUGGCUCCUAGAAAGCACAAAUAUCGUAUGAGCAGCAUCAAAUUGUUUGGGGUAGAGUUAUCCCCUGACAAUGUUGCUGUUGCGAUGGUGUAUUUUGUUCAAGGUGUUUUAGGUCUUGCAAGACUGGCUGUCAACUUUUACUUCAAAGAUGAUUUGCAUUUGGACCCUGCUGAGGCAGCUGUGAUUGCUGGUUUAUCUUCUUUACCGUGGCUUGUCAAGCCUCUGUACGGGUUUAUUAGUGAUUCGGUCCCCCUCUUUGGUUAUCGAAGAAGGUCAUACCUGGUUUUGUCAGGGCUGUUUGGUGCACUCUCAUGGAGUUUGAUGGCUACUUUUGUUGACAACAAAUACAGUGCUGCUUUUUGCAUACUUCUUGGAUCUUUCUCUGUUGCUUUCUCGGAUGUUGUUGUAGAUUCAAUGGUUGUGGAGAGGGCACGUGGAGAGUCACAAAGCACCUCGGGAUCUCUUCAGUCUUUAUGUUGGGGUUCUUCGGCCUUUGGUGGAAUUGUGAGCUCGUAUUUCAGUGGGUCUUUACUGGAUGCAUAUGGAGUCAGGUUUGUUUUCGGGGUCACAUCAUUGCUUCCGUUGAUAACAUCUGUGGUUGCCAUUCUUGUAAAAGAACAACCAAUGCUCAGUGCAGCUACGGGGCCAAAUUUUCUUUUUGCCGGGACAGAGUUUUUGGAAAGUUCAAAACAGAGCAUUAUUCAGCUGUGGGGUUCUGUGCGACAGCGUAGUGUUUUUCUUCCCACUCUGUUUAUUUUCUUGUGGCAAGCAACUCCGCAGUCUGACUCUGCGAUGUUCUACUUUACCACAAAUUCUCUUGGUUUUACCCCGGAGUUUUUGGGACGUGUCAAGCUUGUUACCUCAGUUGCGUCUCUGCUUGGUGUUGGUAUUUAUAAUGGAUUUUUGAAGAAUGUCCCUUUACGGAAAAUAUUUCUUGCAACUACCCUUUUAGGUUCAACACUUGGGAUGACUCAGGUUUUCCUUGUUACUGGACUAAACCGGAAAUUUGGCAUUAGUGAUGAGUGGUUUGCAAUUGGUGAUUCAUUAAUUCUCACUGUUUUGAGUCAGGCCUUUUUGUUCAUUGUGGUACUGUUCAUCCUCUGUUUGUCUGCUCAUCGCUACUGUCGUCCCCUCUGUAGAUCAAGAGAGUCUCAUGUGUUUUAUCUUGGUUCUGUGGAACUUCAGUCUAAUGAUUUACAUGAUGCACUAGUGUAAUUUUUGUCCUAACUGUUGAUCGGAAGUUUUUAUUGAUUGAAUGCAUUUCUACGAAGAAUUUCCGGGAUAUUUGAGAGGUCUAGGCUUUAUCUGAAACCUAAUUAAUUCUAUUUAACCGUAUUAAUAUCUCUUCUCAACCCUCUUAAUAUCUUUAGGCAGCUACUGAUCUGCUAACAUAUACCCACCUUUAAUGGGUCUAAACAGUUACGAGACUGUUUCCCUUGUUUUAAUACAACCCCUUGCAUUUCAUUGAAUGUCUAUCCUACUCACAUAACUAACUAAUGGAUAUCUGAUAGAAAAUGGUACGACAGCCGUCAGAAAGAACUGAUAUCACAGCAGUUAGAAAGAACUGGUCUUCUACUGAAAGAAAAUAGGGAUAAACCCCUAGGAAGCAUUACAUGAUUCCAGAUAUUAUGAGAGGUCUGGAUCCAGUCCUUACAGGCUUUGCCAAUAUCAGAUCACCUAAACUGUUUUUAGUUAUUCCUGUCUAUAAGAAAUUAUUGAUCUACUGACAUAAACCCACCCUUAAUGGGUCUAAUAAAUUGUUGGCCUGUUCCCCUUGCUUGUACUUUUGUCUAACUAACUAACUAAUGCGUAUCACAUUAAAGUUUCACAUGCUUAUCACAAAUUGGCCCGUUCUGCCCGUAAAGUUUCACGUUGUCCUUGCGAUAAACAGCUUGUGACUGCUGAAACAAAUUCCUACUGGUAUUUCAACUGAUUUAAGAAGCAUGGUCUCCAAGCCAACCAGACCAUUUCAUCCCAAAACUAACGUUUAAUUAACCUGGGACAAACACAAUUAUGUGAGUGAAUCAAUUCUUUUAUAACACUGUUUUCUAUGGCCUUUUUGACCGCGAAACAGUGUUUCCAGUUGCUGCUGAAGAGGUUAUGAAGUUCUUCCACCUUAUUUUACUGGUUCAUGUUCAUGUGAACAAGGAACAAUUCAGUUCCUGUGGCUUCCUGUUUUCUAUUUCAGCAUUUCAUUGCAUUAAUUUUGAAAAGAAACCAUUUCUUUCUCUGGUGUUCCUCCAGAAUUCCAAUUGUUCACCAUACUUCUUUCCGUGACUGCAUAUGAUUCUUGUGUUUCUUGCAACGGCGGUUGCUCACAUUGAUUUCCUCAGUUUCCAAUCCCUUUUUGUCCCUCCAAUUCUUCUUUUCUUGCUGUUUUUUAUUCUUUUUUGGUUCACCAGAUUUGAUUCUUCUUUGCCACCUUGAUUCUUUCCUUGGCUCUUGAUCGAUGGAAAUUCAUCAUUGCUUAUUUUAUCUUCCUCUGAAUCUUGAAGACAAAAUCAAAUCUUUGGUUGAAAAGCACAUAACACAACCUUAUCAAUGGUAGAAAUUGUGACAAUUUGGUUGCUACUCCAUCGAAUCAUACAGUUGAGAGUGUCUCCUCUCAUUGUCAUCUAAAUCCCAAGGUAGGUUAUCCUCUCGCACUUCAAGUUCCAUCAAUGUUCUAAAUUGAUCAACUACCAAAGGUACCACCCUUCCCGUCAAAUCUUGGAAUCAUUUUCACAACCUCCACAAGUCCAAGAUUGAAAGCUCGACCUGUUUAUAGAACUGAAAUCAUAACAGUGAGAAAUAAUGGGUUUUUUAUUGGUUGAAAUUAGUAAGGUAACCCUAUGAUACCUGAUUCCGGAUAUCUCAGAGUGCUGUAUACACUCUUCGCACUACUUUCUCAAUCACAAGUCCCCUAACCUGUUUACAGUUAUCCCAAUUUAUAGGCAGCUACUGGUUUUAUAGCAUAAACCCACAUUUAAUGGGCCUAUAAUAGUUGUAGACCCAUUCCCCUUUUUCUAACGCACAAACCCUUGUAUUUCUUUCUAACUAAUUACUAGGAUAACAAAUUAAUGGCUAUCAUAAGUAUCUAUCAAUACGUUCCGCCCCCACCUCCCAAGCAUUGACCCUGGCCCCAUGGUGAAUAUAGCAAUGACAGCUGAAGUUGCUUCGGAUUCCAAGUGGUAGGCAGCUACUGGUAACAUAUACCUACCCUUAUGGGGACCGGAACCUGACUAUAUUUACUAACUUAACUAACUUUUGGGUAUCUAUCAAUAUAGUUGCUGAUCAAGUUCCCUUCUUUCUAACAUAACCCCAUGUAUUUCUUUGACUACCUAACUUAGGUAAUUGCUAUCAUGUCUAACUAAUGGGUAUUUAUGAUGAAAAUCUUAGUUGUAAAGUUUACUAGCCACUCAUAAAAAGAGGACCUUUCUUUGUAGACUAUUUAUCUGAGUCGGUGUUGUCCUUCUAAAUACAUUGAUUUUGAUAUAUUAGAUAAGUUUUUAAUGUAUUUUAAAAUAUCAAAAUCACUGUAUUUUGAAGGCUCAACACCAAAAAUCCAGCAGACAAUUGAUUAAAUUUUAUGGCAAUUCAUAAAUUUUGGCUUCUUUCAUGCCCGUUCUUGUGCUAGCAGCAAGAUUAUGUCCUGAAGGAAUGGAGGCAACUCUUUUCGCAACUCUCAUGUCUGUAUCUAAUGGAGGGAGUGUUGUUGGGGGAUUGUUAGGGGCGGG